RNAcentral lists this ribosomal RNA (300 nucleotides) under uncultured Lactobacillus sp. RNAcentral describes it as "bacterial SSU rRNA". It matches the Rfam family "Bacterial small subunit ribosomal RNA", at positions 496 to 795 of the family's 1533-position model. The record is from RNAcentral. Lineage: Bacteria; Bacillati; Bacillota; Bacilli; Lactobacillales; Lactobacillaceae.
GGGGACCUCUGGGCAGGAGCCGGGGUAAUAGGAAGGGUUCAAGCGGUAGUUGGAAUUACUGGGCGUAAAGCGUGAGUAGGUGGUUGGUUAAGUCUGUCGGGAAAGCCCUUGGCGCAACCGGGGAACUGCGAUGGAAACUGGGCGACUAGAGUGUGGUAGAGGGUAGCGGAAUUCCUGGUGUAGCAGUGAAAUGCGUAGAUAUCAGGAGGAACAUCCAUGGCGAAGGCAGCUACCUGGGCCAACACUGACACUGAGGCACGAAAGCGUGGGGAGCAAACAGGAUUAGUUACCCUUGUAGUC